GGUUUGAUUAUGGCUCAGGAUGAACGCUGGCGGCGUGGGGAACACAUGCAAGUCGAACGGUGAAAGCGGAGCUUGCUCUGCUGGAUCAGUGGCGAACGGGUGAGUAACACGUGAGCAAUCUGCCCCUGACUCUGGGAUAAGCGCUGGAAACGGCGUCUAAUACCGGAUACGAGCUGCGAAGGCAUCUUCGGCAGCUGGAAAGAAUUUCGGUCAGGGAUGAGCUCGCGGCCUAUCAGCUAGUUGGUGAGGUAACGGCUCACCAAGGCGUCGACGGGUAGCCGGCCUGAGAGGGUGACCGGCCACACUGGGACUGAGACACGGCCCAGACUCCUACGGGAGGCAGCAGUGGGGAAUAUUGCACAAUGGGCGAAAGCCUGAUGCAGCAACGCCGCGUGAGGGACGACGGCCUUCGGGUUGUAAACCUCUUUUAGCAGGGAAGAAGCGAAAGUGACGGUACCUGCAGAAAAAGCGCCGGCUAACUACGUGCCAGCAGCCGCGGUAAUACGUAGGGCGCAAGCGUUAUCCGGAAUUAUUGGGCGUAAAGAGCUCGUAGGCGGUUUGUCGCGUCUGCUGUGAAAACCCGAGGCUCAACCUCGGGCCUGCAGUGGGUACGGGCAGACUAGAGUGCGGUAGGGGAGAUUGGAAUUCCUGGUGUAGCGGUGGAAUGCGCAGAUAUCAGGAGGAACACCGAUGGCGAAGGCAGAUCUCUGGGCCGUAACUGACGCUGAGGAGCGAAAGGGUGGGGAGCAAACAGGCUUAGAUACCCUGGUAGUCCACCCCGUAAACGUUGGGAACUAGUUGUGGGGACCAUUCCACGGUUUCCGUGACGCAGCUAACGCAUUAAGUUCCCCGCCU
This 855-nucleotide ribosomal RNA is filed under the name Microbacterium sp. RI45. RNAcentral's name for it is "bacterial SSU rRNA". It matches the Rfam family "Bacterial small subunit ribosomal RNA", at positions 10 to 874 of the family's 1533-position model. The record is from RNAcentral. Lineage: Bacteria; Bacillati; Actinomycetota; Actinomycetes; Micrococcales; Microbacteriaceae.